RNAcentral lists this ribosomal RNA (250 nucleotides) under uncultured bacterium. Its description in RNAcentral is "partial 16S ribosomal RNA". It matches the Rfam family "Bacterial small subunit ribosomal RNA", at positions 524 to 773 of the family's 1533-position model. The record is from RNAcentral.
AACGUAGGAGGCGAGCGUUAUCCGGAUUUACUGGGCGUAAAGCGUGUGUAGGCGGUUUGAUAAGUUGGAUGUGAAAGCUCCCGGCUUAACUGGGAGAGGUCGUUCAAAACUAUCAGACUCGAGAGUGGUAGAGGGAGGUGGAAUUCCGCGUGUAGUGGUGAAAUGCGUAGAUAUGCGGAGGAACACCAGUGGCGAAAGCGGCCUCCUGGCCCAUUUCUGACGCUCAGACACGAAAGCUAAGGUAGCAAAC